ACGGAGGGUGCGAGCGUUGUUCGGAAUCAUUGGGCGUAAAGGGCGUGUAGGUGGUCUGUUAAGUCAUGUGUGAAAGCCCUCAGCUUAACUGGGGAAGUGCGCAUGAAACUGACAGGCUAGAGUACCGAAGAGGAAGGUGGAAUUCCCGGUGUAGCGGUGAAAUGCGUAGAGAUCGGGAGGAACACCAGUGGCGAAGGCGGCUACCUGGACCAGCACUGACACUGAGGCACGAAAGCGUGGGGAGCAAACAGGA
This 253-nucleotide ribosomal RNA is filed under the name uncultured prokaryote. RNAcentral's name for it is "partial 16S ribosomal RNA". It matches the Rfam family "Bacterial small subunit ribosomal RNA", at positions 525 to 777 of the family's 1533-position model. The record is from RNAcentral.